GGUCAUAGAUGAAUAAACGGCGACUCAUAAUCGCUUGGUCACAGGUUCGAGUCCUGUUGGGCCCACCA
Molecule: transfer RNA, 68 nt
Filed under: Guyparkeria sp. SCN-R1
Lineage: Bacteria; Pseudomonadati; Pseudomonadota; Gammaproteobacteria; Chromatiales; Thioalkalibacteraceae
Description: tRNA-Met
Source: RNAcentral